This 253-nucleotide ribosomal RNA is filed under the name uncultured bacterium. Its description in RNAcentral is "partial 16S ribosomal RNA". It matches the Rfam family "Bacterial small subunit ribosomal RNA", at positions 524 to 776 of the family's 1533-position model. The record is from RNAcentral.
UACGUAGGGGGCAAGCGUUGUCCGGAAUCAUUGGGCGUAAAGCGCGCGUAGGCGGCUCUGUAAGUCCGUUGUGAAAGUCAAAGGCUCAACCUUUGAAAGCCGAUGGAUACUGCAGGGCUAGAGUCCGGAAGAGGCGAGUGGAAUUCCUGGUGUAGCGGUGGAAUGCGCAGAUAUCAGGAGGAACACCGAUGGCGAAGGCAGCUCGCUGGGACGGUACUGACGCUGAGGCGCGAAAGCGUGGGGAGCGAACAGG